RNAcentral lists this ribosomal RNA (391 nucleotides) under Tropiocolotes steudneri. RNAcentral describes it as "partial 12S ribosomal RNA". It matches the Rfam family "Bacterial small subunit ribosomal RNA", at positions 796 to 1381 of the family's 1533-position model. The record is from RNAcentral. Lineage: Eukaryota; Metazoa; Chordata; Lepidosauria; Squamata; Gekkonidae.
CUAGCCAUAAACCUUGAUAGUUAAACAACAAACUAUCCGCCAGAGAACUACCAGCAAAAAGCUCAAAACUCAAAGGACUUGACGGUGUCCCAAACCAACCUAGAGGAGCCUGUCCUAUAAUCGAUAACCCACGCUAUACCCAACCUGCCCUAGCAACCACAGCCUAUAUACCGCCGUCCCCUUUCGCCCACCUAAUGAUAGACACCCAGUAGGCACAAUAGUCCCACACUAAAACAUCAGGUCAAGGUGUAGCUAAUGAGCAGGAAGAGAUGGGCUACAUUUUCUCCUCACCAGAAAAAACCACCGGCACCAUGAAACAUGUGCAACCAAGGAGGAUUUAGCAGUAAGCCCGGCAAGACCCACAGCCAGGCUGAAGCCCAGCUCUGGGACA